GACGAACGCUGGCGGCGUGCUUAACACAUGCAAGUCGAACGGAAAGGCCCAGCUUGCUGGGUACUCGAGUGGCGAACGGGUGAGGAACACGUGGGUGAUCUGCCUUGCACUCUGGGAUAGGCCUGAGAAACUGGGACUAAUACCGGAUAUGACCAACUGUCGCAUGGUGGUUGGUGGAAAGCUUUUGCGGUGUGGGAUGGGCCCGCGCCCUAUCAGCUUGUUGGGGGGGUAUGGGCCUACCAAGGCGACGACAGGUAGCCGACCUGGGCGGGGGGGCGGCCACACUGGGACUGCGACACGGCCCAGACUCGAACGGUAGGCAGCGGUGGAGAGUAUUACACAGUGGGCGCGAGCCUGAUGCGACGACGCCGCGUGAGGGAUGACGGCCUUCGGGUUGUGAACCUCAUUCCCCAGGGACGAAGCGUGAGUGACGGUACCUGGAGAAGAAGCACCGGCUAACUACGUG
This 466-nucleotide ribosomal RNA is filed under the name uncultured bacterium. Its description in RNAcentral is "partial 16S ribosomal RNA". It matches the Rfam family "Bacterial small subunit ribosomal RNA", at positions 28 to 507 of the family's 1533-position model. The record is from RNAcentral.